GGGAAAUGCAAAUUUAAGUAUAAUGAGUGCUUAUAGAAUACUCUUGAAUUUAAACUCGUAAUAAUCAUAAGUCAGUCUUUGAUGGGAGACACGGUAUUUUCAAUUCAACAACUGGUUACACGAACACAAUUUUAUUCUCUUGCUGAGCUACUGAUUGAAUCAUAAUAAUAAUACAUAUUAUUAACAUGGGCAGGAGAAUAGUUGCUCUCAUAGUAUUCUUAAUAUUUUCAUCAUCAUCAUCGAUAACAACACGAGGAAGUGAAAUAAGCGAGACUUGCUUUGGUAAUUGUAUGACGUUACUUCGAAAAGCUUUUGAGGUGAGUCGUUAAAUACUACGGCUACAUGGGUAACAUUUACAGCAAAUAAAACGUUAUUGUUCACCUUUGUUACAGAUAUAUGGUAUUGCGAUAUUGUUGGGUCUUACUAAUUAUAGCUGAUAGUAUAAU
Non-coding RNA from Paramuricea clavata, 446 nucleotides. NCBI's taxonomy places the organism in Eukaryota, Metazoa, Cnidaria, Anthozoa, Malacalcyonacea, Plexauridae. The record is from the annotation of a GenBank genome assembly.